CCAGAUAAUUUUAUACUUAUUUUCUUUUUUGGAUCUGUAUAUACUAUGUGUACUUCCAUAUAUAUGUCAAUAUAUAUAUAUACAUGUACAUGCAUGCUAUGUGGCUUGCACUGGCCCAGCUGCAGAAGCUAUAGAACAUAGAAUCAUAGGAUUGUUUGAGUUGGAAGGGACCUCUAGAGGCCAUGUGGUCCGACUUCCUGCAGUGAACAGGGACACUUACAGCUCCAUCACGUACUCAGAUCCCUCCAGCCUGACCUUGGCUGUCUCCAGGGACAGGGUAUCCACCCCCUUUCUGGGCAACCCAUGCUACUGUCUUACCAAUUAAAAAAAAAAAAAGUAAUUAUAAAACUCCAUAAUUUUAUUUUGAAACUGUAGAACCUGCCUCUAGACUCUAUUACUUUCUGUUCUGCAAACUGUCUAUCAUCAAGCGAUUUUCUGCCAUGUUGUUCUUCCACAUUCUCUAGUGGAACUGAAAUGAUCUUCUGCCAGCACUGACAUAAUCUACAAACAGCAUAUAGUUUCCUUGUUUCUUCUUAGAGAGAAAGCCAUGCUAGGUGAAAGCACAGACUCGAUUCAACCUGCAGGAGAUUGGUUGGACUAAGCUGUUAAACUCAGAAGUUACGUAAGCUGUUUGUUGUAGAGAAUGUACAUUUGUAGAGGGUGUGUAUUUUUGAAGAUGUACUGUCAUCGAUGCACAAUGUCUAGAAAUAACAGUUGCUUUCCAGAAUUAUAAUUCCAAGAGGAAAUUUCAUUGAAGUAUCAAAAAAAGCAGAAGAAAUACGAAUAACUCAUGCUGCUUUUAAAAAUAUUUUCUUGUUUCCCCCUACCUGCUCCUCUCCCCCUCUCCCCUUAAUCCCACUCCCAUCUCUCAGCCAUGAAGACUUUGAAUUUAUAUCGGGGACCCGCAUGCGCAAGCUGGCUCGAGAAGGACAAAACCCACCAGAAGGCUUCAUGGCUCCUAAGGCUUGGACUGUGCUGACAGAAUACUACAAAUCCUUGGAGAAGGCUUAGGCCUCUUAUUAACUGCAGAUCAACCUUUGACGCCUGAUUUAUUUACGAGAAAGGGACCACACAGUCACCGUUCAUGUCGCUUUGUUGUGGUAUCUGUCAGGAAGUUCUUCUCUGAAAACAGACUCUUUCUCUCUAACUUAGCAUCAUUCUUUGCCUGUCCUUAUGGGUUCUAUUAUAUCCUGGCACCUAACUAGCUGCUGUUUUUAAUGUCUUUUCUUUCAUUACAGUUAAUAUUCUUACAGUGGGAUUUUUAACUCUGUUUUUUUUAUAUUAUUUUACUGCCUAUGUCCUCUGAGUUCUGCAGCUGUUAAAUAGAUGCAGCUUUUUUCAUAUUAUUUAAACUGCUGAAUAUUUUCUGGUUUUAGUAGUUUGUGGGAGAAAAUGUAAUAGUUAGACUCUUAACUAUGGAUAGAUGCUCUAUAAGUGAAAAAAGUAAGUAAGUUUUAAACUACCUUAAAAGUAUACUCUUAUUCUCAUCAGCAUCUCCAGAAGCAUUUAAAAUUAACUUUUCAGUAUGUGUAAUCAUAAAAAGCAGAGUUCUUUAUGCAGCAUAAUUAACUUCUUUUGCUUUCUUUGUUUAGUUUUAGAAUUCUUGGAGCUCUGUCCGGUAGUUUUCUUCUGCUGUGGACCUGUAAAGAUGACCAAGUAAUGAAUAAAAGAAAAUACUUAAUUUUCUCUUAAUAAACUAAGAUAUUUAUUUUAAUGUGCACUUGUUGCGGUGAAUGUCAAUAGGGAUCAUUUGUUCCCAUUUGAUUUCACUUACUGGUCUUUGUUCCUGUUACGCUCAACAGUAGGCAUACAAUAGUACUGAUCUGUUGGCAUCUUUUCCAGUGUUUGUAGGUAAUCAGAGGAGCAGUCAAACUGUUCUUAGCUAUUGACUAGGAACUUCUCAUAUCUUUCUCACUGAAACUCUCUCUUCUUUAGCAGAAGGUGUACAUAGGAGGAAAGAGUAAAAAAAUUGUUUUUAAAACAUUGAAACUGGCCUGCUACUGAACCUGAAUGAAGCAUCACAUCAAUAUAUAGGUUGUGCACAAUCCUGAAGAAAAAGUUACUUCCUCUCUGUACAGGGGUUUGUGCAAUACUUCAUGCUCAUCUACAAAGAUGAACAAAAGUUAUGAGCUGCUAAAAAGGGAUUUGCUGUUGAAAGUUAAGAGUUUGGACUUGUUGCUGUCAGUUUUCUUAAAGGUUUUGUGUGGAAGCAGAAGAGACUCCUUGACCUUCAAAUAUGGGAUUCAAAAGAGCUGUCUGCUGUAGAAUGGAAGACUGCAGUCAGUCCAUGGAAGAGCAUUGAUAAUGUAUCAUUGAGGUCUGCCUUGUUUCUAGCUGAUGAGCACAAUGUUCUACCAUCUGUGAAAAGGAGUGUCUUGGUCAUUCGUUUCAUUUGUUUUCCUAGACAAUCGAGAUAAGAUCUGUUAUGUUUAAACAUAACUUUCUGCCAGGAGAAAACUUACCACUAUUAUUGUUUAUAUUUAAAUUGUGGCACAGUCUGAAAAAAACACUGUUAUAAUUACGUGAGCAAAAAUUUCUUGUCAUGCUAUGUGACAGCAGAACAAUAAACAUACCAUCAGUGUCAACAUCAAAAGUACAAUGCAAAAUGCAAACUACUAUUGGCUCUUCUUCACUAGAGAUAGUUAUUUAUAACUCCUUUGUUCUUUAUUUCUACAAGGAAUAAUACUGCUUCUUUCUGAAAAGAAAUACUGCUUCUUUCUUUGCCUUACUUGGUAGUUAGAGACACUCAGAAUGACACUCUUCAUAAUUUAUACUGUUUUCAGUUAGUAUUUUGAAAGGCAUGCUUGUGAGCUUCACAACAAAAUAGCUUUGCAAAGAGUAUUACAGGUUUAAAGUUUUUCUGUGUAAGUGGCCUUGGCUAUUUUACCUACAGUACCAUUAGUUUUCUCUCUGUUGAAACAAACAAACCAAAAAAAAGGCAACAAAGUUUUAUACAGCUCAGUCUUAUGUAGAGAUUGGGUACACAAUUUUUGUGAAAUAUUAAAACAGCUAUGGCUGACUUUUUCAUAAAAGCUUUUCAUUCAGGUCUGUCCUUCAUGCUGUGAUGACUUCUUGUGACACACUUCAUGUGCUGGAUAAGAGUAUAGAAAAGUAUAAUUUCAGGGAAAGGUGAUGAAUCAAUCACUGACAGUCCCAGGACAGCGUUAUUCAAACACUGACAAUAAAAAAGCCACAUUUCUUGUAAUCUGUAAUUCUUUCAAUAUAAUAUUUUGCUUUUUCUUUAAUGAUUAUUGAGAUAUAAAUGGAAAUUCAAAGCAGCUUGCUCCGUCUACAAGAUUUACAGAAAGAGAUGAAGGUUCUUUGGUCACUUGUUUUCUGGAGAGAUGAAAGUAAAUUCCUUCUCACACUUUUAGUGUAUUAAAUAAAAAAAAGCUCUCAGGUCUUUCCAUUUUCAUACUUAAAGAUGUGUCUUCAUGAGGAACAACGUGGUUUCUGAUGUUCAAAGAGUUGCAUUGUUUUCAGUUUGAGGUUUUGUUGAACGUUGGCAAUGAACUGCAAAUACUAGCCUAUGUAGUCCAAUUCUACACUGGAUGCUUUAAAAGAAGCAAUCUUGCCUUUUAUCUUAGAUCAACUCAUUUGACUUUUUUCACCUGUAUUUACUUUGAAACAACUCUUUGUUUCAGUUUUUUCACAUACCUAUGUAAUUGCUACAAAGAAAAUUCCGUCUCUUUACCAUUCUUGGUUGAUUAUUAUCCUACAUAUGUUUGUGGAUCUUGGAACUAUUACAGAGGAAGUAGAUAUCUUUCCACAUUGAUUUUGUGAAAUUAAUUCUGGAAGAUACCAGCUGAACUUUAAUCCUUUCAAAAAACGAACUUGAAUUAAGAUCUCACUGUCUUUCAAGAAAGCAUGAAUCUGAUUGCAUUGAGAGUACACUUUUUUUCUUUUUAAAGUUUGUGAGUGAUUGCUGGAAUACACAGUCUCCUUUUUGAUAGGUAAGGGUAAUACACUUUUUCCUGAGAUGUAAUAAUGCAAGUUUCAAACAAAAAUCUUGGCUGAUUGUAGACAAAAGCAUGAGAUAAAAGCUUUUCAGCCAGUGGAUUACAUUAUUGUUGAUAAAAGUCAAAGAAGGCCUGUCUGUAAAACCCAAAGACCUGUGCUCCACUGGAAGACCUGCACUGGCUGUAAACAAUUCCAGCCUGGUAGUGGACUCUCUGCAGCACAAGUUUGUUAUCUACUUUCUAGUUUCUGCGGAAUUUUCAAUAUCUGCUCAAAUCUCCACAAGCAAUUUUGAUACAAUUUGUUUCUUAGUACGUUCCACUCAUCUAUGGAGUUUCUAGUUUUGUUCAGGGCUGGUUUAAUAUUGCUACUAUAGUAUUGGUAUUGGCCUAUAGUCUUUUUCAGUUUGCAGACUACUUAUGGUUUAUGAGUGUAGGUUUUUUUUCUAUUAUUUAAUUUUAGUAAGUAUUAGCCAAAUGAUCUUAUUCACUUGUCUUCUGAGGUUCCCUUAACAGUUGUUUGUGAGCUUUUCUGCUAAGUGCAACUCACAAAUUUAAAAUUAUUGCUCUGGAAUAACAGCUAGUGAACUCAUUAAUUUUGUUUAUGCAAAAUUACAAAAUAGAGAAGCAAUCAAAGGAAAUAUAAGGAAAAUAAUUGAAAAAAACAAUUACAGAUGGAGUAGGCAAUAUCUGAGAGGUUUCUGGAUUUUUGUUUAGUCUACAUUCAAUUUACACUCAUUAUCUAGAAGAAAGCUGAUAGAGGUUUGUACUCAGUGUUUGUAUGCUACUACAGACAGGGGGGAGAACCCAGUGUAAGCAAAGACAACUCCAAAAACCUGUCAAGCCUUAGAAGACUCAGUGAACGAAAUGGAUUGAAAGAGGAAUUGAGACCUUGAAACUUGGGAGUGCUUCUCUUGUGCAAUGGAUAUGGAGUUGGAGCCAAGACAAAUGCCAGUGCGUUAUGUGGUGGAAUGUUUGCUUGCAGUAGUCUUAUGGACACAAAAUGUUACACCUUCUUGGCAUAAGAAGAAACCAUGUUGAGUAUUAAUGUUCCGCUGCUUGCUUUUCUCAUUGGAAAAGUGACAUGGAAGCCACUGAAAUUCUGAACUGAAAUGAAACAAUCGAGGAGCUCGCAAUUACCCUUUUCAUGUUACUUAUUUCAUCUUUUGACCUGGUAUCUCCCUACCUCUGUAUUUUGUUUUCUCUACUGUUUCCAUGACAAGCAAUAUGGAUCAAAGAGAUUAAACCUAGUUUGAAAAAGGCCCCAAUUCUUCAGGAUAUCAAGAUUAAAUUUUAAAAUAAUCAUGGUAGUUGGGAAAGUGUCCUUGUUUGCAGUGGGGCAGAGCUGCAGCUGGUAGCACUUCAUUUGCAAAAUGUUCUCAAAACUGUUAUAACAACAUCCACAGUACUCAUGCACAAACUGGGAAAUAAUAGAAAAAUUCCUAUUUUUUAAGGCUUCAUUAGAAGCAAAGAGCAAAAAGGAAGCCUGCUGUUUUUCAAGUAGAAACAUUUAAAUUCUAUAAUGGGUAGAAGGAUGAGGGGACACAAAAACUUCAACACAGGAAAAGGCUACAGGAAUUAACUGUUUUCACUGUUAUUGAUCUUAAGCAGCGGUCUUUGCUGAAGAGCUGAUGAUGUGAAAACUGCAAGGUCAAGUUUGUUAUAAGAAUUAUCAUCAUUUCUUUUCUUAGAACUGAAUUUCAGUUACCCAAGAGCUGCUACAUUUGUUUUAUAUACACUUCUAAAUUUUAGAAGGACAGGAAAGUGCAAUCAGAACGUGGAAAAUUUCUUGUUUUAGAGUUUUCUUGUCUGUACCAAUCCAGUGUGAAAAUAAAAAGCUAAGUCUUGCAGAUUGAUAGGCAUCACACAUGUGUAUGUUUGUGAGCUCCUUCACAGCCUCUCAUUGGGCCAGUUGAUGUUGUACUAAUUAGAUGUCACUCCCAAUGGGAUAACGGCAGAUCUGCCCUUGUUGCCAUGCUCUGGGAUUAACUUAAUGGGUGCAGUGCAAAAUGCGAUGUGGGUUUCUGUGAGAACAGGCUGCUGUGGGAACAGCUAGCUUACUGCAUUCUUGCCUUGGUAGGCUUUGAAGUCACUUGGCCCUUUUUUCUACAGCAGUCAGUGCUGGCAGAUACCCUCUUGAAUUCUGAGGUCAAUCCAUCCAUGGCAAAGUCAUUUUGUAAAUAUAAAUAUAAAAAAAAGGACAUUGCAAUUUCACUGCAGGAGUCAGUUCUUGGUCUUUUCCUGAUGCUGUGAAACAAGCCUCGCUGUCUUACAUAUUAGAAUGACUUGAUGGAGAUAUUACCUGAAAAAUUCAGUUGAGGGAUUUUUUUUGCCUUCUGUCCUAUUUGAAUGCUCCCCUUAAAAGUGGGUGGAAAAAUAGAAGUCUUUACAGAGUUCUGCUGAACUUUGAAAAUUGAAAUACCAACUAGUUCUGCCGUUCAUAUGUGACACACUUAUUUGCAUUUGCUCUGAUCUUUUGCCCAAAUAAAAAAGCAGGAACUGAAUAGGAUUUAAUUACAGGCUUAUUUAAAUUUUCUUUUACGCAGACAGUUGUGGAGUUUGUUUAUCUGGGUAAAACUUCUGAAACAUGGUUCCUUCUGCUGCAUAUUUUCUCUUUUUAAGAAAGAAGUACCUAGGCACUGAUUUUUGGUUUGUUGGCCUUCAGUUCAUUUCCUUCUGGUGGAAGCCAAUAUUUAGCACAAUGACACCACGCACUCUUUGUCAUAAUGAAAAUAACAAAUUAAAUGAUUAAUUUUCUCUCUCUGUAAAUCUGUAGCAAAUAUUUUUGCAUACUGAUUUACUUUUUUCUGAGUCACCUGGUUUUAUAGAGUACUGUUUCGUGUUAAGGAAUUCUUUUUUUACCAGAGCCUAAGGGACAUAAGAUUAUGUUCAUCUUUCUACUGUUAGAUUGAGUUUUUCAUCCCUUCUCAGAAGAAAUUAUUGCUUCUGACUUCUAUCAUUGUGUUAUUUUUGGAUUAUUUGGAUUCAUAUGUAGAAGAUUAUUAUUUCAUCAUCCAUAAAUGGUUUUAUUUGUGGUUUAAAUAGUUAAAUUAACAUCAAGAACACAUGUAAGUUUUCAGCAAUUUUAGAAGGAAAAAAUUUCAAACUAAAUUUGUAUUUGCUUUUCAUGUAGUGGUGAUUUUUUCAUUCACAAGGAGCGUGCACCAGAAAUGCCAGCCUUUGUCCACAGAACAAGUUGCCUGAUGGUGAUCAAAAAGUGGACUUAAUAUGAUUAAAUUGUUUUACUAGAUGAGAUUUUUCCUAACUUCUGAUCAGGAGGUGAGGUUUUUUUACUGGUCCUUUCUGGCCUGCAGAAUUAGUUCUAUAGAUUUCUAGUACUAAGAGUAAGUAACUGUAGGAUUAAAUGUAAAUAAAUGUAGAAAUCAGAUUAUGUGAAAUACAAAGGAACUUUUUGAAAACACUGCUUGCAAAAGAAAACAAAUCUGGUUCUGAGGAGACAGUUGGGAAGCAUAUAUAUACAUAUUUAAUAUUCACGUUCAAGAGAGAUUAAAAUAUUCUUGUUUUUAAAUACAUGUAUAUUCUUAUAAAGAGAUGUGAAAACAGAGAAAGUAUCUUAACCACAACAUGUUUCCACUGAUUUUCAUUUGUUUUUUUCAGUGACAAAUCCACUUGAUUAUCCUGACUGGUAUUGCAGGCUAGUACAGAUAUGGAAAAAUGAGCUGUUUGCCAUAUUGCUUAAUAAGUUCAUUCAAGUUAGUUAGCCUGGUUAUUUUGUGCAGGGGACAGAUGCUUAGCCUCUGGCAAAAAUAAUACAUGAUUUUUGAGAUCUUGUGUCAUUCUUUGUCUGCUGUUGGUUAGGAAAACAUUUCUGCCACACAGCCAAGCUUUGCAUAUCAAAAGUCAGUAGUAUGAAAAUCAGUGAGGAAGAGCAAAUAGAGUCUUUUUCAGACUUAGAAUGUAGGAUUUUUUUGAGAUUAAGGCAGUAUACAAGAUAUUCUAAGCUCUUUCAGGUCACUCAGUGUUACUUGUAAAAGUUAUCCUACCAAACCUUAAUACCAUCAGUAGAGAGCAAGAGACAUGCACUGGUUUCUUUAUGUGGUGAUUCAAAAUGUGAACCCUUCUUGGAACUGCCCUCUGAGGAAGAUUUUUUUUCUCAAUGGCUCUAUGAGAAGGUAUUAGCUGGCUAAUGUGACCUUAAAAAUAGGUACCUCUGGGUAUGUAAAGCUGAGAAGACUUGUUCUUAAUGUGUGCUGUGUUUUGUAUCAAUGAGUAGUAUUUCCAAAGUAAACAUAUAGCAGAUAAAGGAAGCUUUUUAGCAUUCAGCAUAUCUUCCCUACUCGGAGAAGCAUGCUCAGUGUGGCAUUGCAAUUCUUAUCAGUGCACAUACAACCACAAUGGUUUUAAUAUAAUGGUGUACAUGUGCAAUAGCAAAGAAAGAGUAGUUAAUACCAUCGUUAAGCCAAAGAUGAAGAGAUUCUCCCUGCUAUUAGAUGUAAUUACUGUUCAGGAUUUCACAAAGACUCUUCUAAAGAUCUUACAUUUCUUUCUCUUGUAAUACGCAAAGAAUAGAGAAAUUGUGGUUUGAAUGAUCUUGAUGUUCAUAGAGAACAUAAUGAAAAAAAUCCUUUUUCAUGUUUUAAUGUUCUUUUAGGUGGUUUUAAUAACCAUUUAGUGAAAUUGAAUUUCUUGUCAUUUUUAAGAGAUUAAUUCUACUCUUUGACAAUUUUUGUCAAAGAAGUUUGACAAUUGAGUUCUAUGACAAUUAACCAUCCAAUUGGAUACAAUUUUGUUUCACAUUUAUAUAUAUAUUUUAUUGUUUAAGCCAGUGGCAAGUCUUGAAGACAUUGUGUUCCAGGUGAUAUAUUUUUCUAUUUAAAGUUUUUUAAUUUAGUUACAGGAGAAAUGAAUGCUCAGUCCUUUGCAGGUUUCGAGUAUCCAUUUCUCUUAUGCUGGAGAAUAUACUGGCUAUAUUAGUGAAAAAAUACUUUAAACUUGAAGGAAGUGGGGACAGGGAAAAUACUGGAGACUGCUGUGAAUGAACAUUCGCAGAUGUACAUAGUCUUAAACAAACAAACAACAUCAACACAAAACAAUAGAGGGAGGACAAACAAAAGCCCUAUUCUUUUGCUAUGUAACAAAUUAAAAAUAACCUAUUAAUUGAAUUGGCAGAUCAUCCUGGAAAGAUAACGCUUAUGUUACAAUAGUCUGUAACCUCUGGAAAAAGAAGUAGUUUCCUGGAAUUAGUUUAGAUUCUGAUCCUAACAUUCCUAAUCCAUAAGUGGCUCUUUUCUACCUUCUGUUGUUACUCUUCUGUAAACCCCAGUUCCCUCUCUAUUUUGAUUUACUUUGUUUUGAUGUGUCCUAUGAUUCUGUGUUCAGGAUUAUUGUGGUUACGAGGUACGAAACCUUUCAUGUGCAUUUGUGCAUUGAAAAAAUAUUUGCUUAAGUAGUCUUAUGCAUAUAAUUUUGUGCUAGAACGUAAUGUUCUUAAUUUUGUUUUAAUUUUUGUUUGCUGUUAGACUACUCGGACAUGUCAUUUGAAUACAUAAUUUUUGCAACUCUCAUCCCUUUUGAACUUCUAUCUAUAUGGUAAUAUCUGCAAAUAGUGUUAACAGAACAUUUUUGGAACUGAAGUGUGUCAUGACUAGUGGGAGUUGAAAGAGAACCUUUCAGCUUGCAGCAUGACACUUUGCUAUCUUCAAGCACAAUGGUAAAAUCUAUCUCUGUACAGAAGAUCAAUGUAAAUCCUGUUUUCCACUUGAUCAGAAAGUCCACCAUGAUGGAAAAUAGAUAUUGCUCUGCUGACUUUAUGGGAGCAGAAUUGUCUCAGAAAUUUACAGUGAUGCAGGUCCUUGAAAGUUCAAAUGGAGAACAUAUUUUUAACCCUGUCUUUUGCAUAAGACUGAAUUUUACUGCAGGUUUAUGAAUUAUCCUACAUAAAAGACCAUCCUUCAUCAGGUUUUACCAUAUGGUUAAAACAUAUAUGCAUAUUUUUUCUGUUACUUCCAGGCACUGUGAAGCAGCUGGUAUUAAUGAAUAAAAAUAGCCAGCAAAAUCAUGGCAUGUGGUUGCUGGAAAGAACAAUUUAUAGCUAGGAAUCUUGUAGGUUACUUGAAGGAAGAAGAAAGGAACAACCCAGAACAUGUGAUCUCUGAAAACAUGGAUGAUCUCUAAGUGUAUUUUGUAUUUUGAGCACCUGUACUGCUCAAGGCAACAUAAUAAGGAACUGAGUAGAAGAUAGUAAUUCAGUUCCUACUGCUAAAUGUUAUAGAGAAGGGAAUCGAAUACUGGUGGGUGUGGUGGCUUUGUUUUUUUUUUGUUUUUUUUGUUUGCUUGUUUUUUGUUUUUUAAAUGCAAACACUAUUGCUGUAGUUUUCUUUCAUGCUGACCAUUGUAUCAAGAUAUCUUGGGGAGAUUUGAAAGAGAAAUGGAUGUGCCUUUUGUCUUCCAAAAUAAAUUAAAUAUAACUUAAAGAUAGAACUUAAUAUAACUUUAUAUGACUUAUAUAAAAAUAUAACUCAAAGAGCAUUUAUGGUAGCUCUAAUAGACAAAACUAUGAGAUUUAAUAAUUUUUUUUUAAUAGCUCUGGGUUACAUUUUUAUCUUUCUAAAAAAUCAAUUAGAUCUGCCUUCAUUUACUAAGACUAAUGACAAAAUAUAAGAUCUUUCUGUUACGGAAAAUGACUUUUAUAGGCUUUAGUGUUUUAUAACUAAUAGUUACCAAGCUCAGUGGAUAAGCAGCAAAUUUUGUACCUUCGUUAAGACCUUGCUUUUUUUUUGUUUUGCUUUGUUUUUGUGUGGGACAAGAAGUUGGUCAUUUAUUUUCUGUAAGGGCAGUGGUUCAAACAGUGAAAAGGCCAAUAUAAAAUGAAAAUUCUGUAGGGUGGGAAAGCUAAAAAGUAUUGUGGCAUUGUAAUGAGAAAAAUAUUGAGACUUAAUUUGCAGUGCGCAGCAGAAAUGCUGAGUCACAGCUUGAAUCAGCGAUUGACCACCUGGUGGGAAGGCAGGGCCAACCCUGGGGAGCUCAGGUGCAUGCAGUGUAUCUGAGUGAGCAGAACGGGUAGAGCUAGGAGCCACCCCUUCCCAGACUUCAUUUAAGGGUUGACAGUGGAAGUAAGGGUGUCUUGCUCUGGAGAUUCCUGUAUGCUUGAGGCCUUCUGAAGGUAAGUAGCUUUCUUCCUUCAUUUCUGCAUCUGUAGCUACUGCAUUUGGGCUUGUCCUCAUUUGUUGCAGCCGAAGACUUUGCUACCUUGCUGUUAUUGUUGUACUUUCCACAGUGAGACUAUAAUAGCUAGUAGAUUUCCUGAUUUUUAUAAGUACAGAGCAGCAGCAGGAAAGAGGGAAAGAAUGGUUCUUUACAACUUCUGUAGAACUGGAAAGAUUAACAUCAAACGCAGUCUUUUGUUUCCACAGGAGGAGAGGGAUGAUGCCAAAAAAUCAGAAUAGUAUCAUAAUAAAUUUAGAAGUGGAAAGUAUGUCACAGAAAGGCAUGGUGUUCCAUCAGUCAUUUGAUUGAUAAAGAAAGAAAGUUUCCAAGCGAGAUUUAAGUUAGUGAUGAGCAGAGGUCUUUGAUCUAGAGAGAGAUAUAGCUACAGUUAGUGUCUUAAAGAUAGUCAAAGAAAUUCAGAUGAGAUAUACGGCUGUAUUUAUUAGUGGAUAUGGUUGCAGAUUAGAACAAAUUACCUAGAGAAGUGAUUUUUGUCUUGUUUUCAUAUGUAUGAUGUAGGAGUAUCCAUGUGAAAUACAUGGGAGGGAAGGACUAUACAGACUUACACCAUGUGGACUAGGUUCACAGGAGGGACCAUCUGCUGAAUUUAUUCAUCUGCUCUUUGGUUUAUCCUGAAGAAGUUCCUUGAUUGCACGUGGUGCACUGAUGCUGUAAUGACAAAGAAAGGUGACAUGCAGAAGCAUUCAUCUGUAACCAAAUUCUUCUUCCUUAAAAGGUUGAAGGGAACACAAGUAGGCUAAUGAUGUCAAAGACGAACAACGUAUUUCCUGAAGAUGAUUCUUGAUGGAGCUGUGAACUUAGGAAAAGCCAAUAGGAAUAAAUACCUAGUGGUUUUGUGGUUUUAUUAAAUAUUCCAUUUACAAAUAUGGCAAUCGUAAACAGCAGUAGUUGAGGCUCUGUGAUUCUCUUGGCAGGCAGGCAAUUCUAGUGAAAACUCCAGUUUCGUGAUUAAAAUUCCAAAACUAUUUUAAGACUUUUAAUUAAUUUCAAAAGACAGUGCUGCUUACUGCUGUUAAAUCUAGCUUUCAGUUUCCCCACCAUUGUUGCUAAUGGCGUAUUAAAACUUGGACAUAUGCAAUUUAUUAACUGAUAUUAUCAAUUAUGCCUUUGUCUGGCGAAUAAGAAAUUCAUAAUGCAUGCUAAGUGAUCCUAAUAUACUGCUUUCAUUUUGUGCUGGAAGGAGCUGAUCACUUGUAAUUUUAGCUGACUGCCAGUAGGUCGCUGUGGAUGUCAGAUGAACUUUAUCAAGUAAAGAACAGUAUUCAGGAGAGGCAUACCUUGAUUUCAGCAAGGAACUUAUGAAGAUGGAAGAUGCUUUUAGUUAAGCUCUUUGCAAAAGUUGAUCAUAACAAAAGAUGCAAUUGCAAAGACCAAAAUAAUAACUCUUAGUAACUAUUAGUCUACCUUGUAACAGGAUGUUAAGACAUGUCUAGAACAAAAAAUAGUUUGUUGUAGUUUAUAAAGAUGAAAAUAAACAACUGUGAUAGUGAGGGACUUUAAAACCUCUUAGAGAAGAAGUGUUUGCAGGAUUGCUGCAUUUUUGCUAAGCAAAUUUAAUUCCUGAGUUCCCACAUGUGAGGUUUUUCUAAUUAUACCCAGCUAACAUUUAGCAACCAGAGCUGGCAGCUGGCAUGCUAUGGCUUUUUUUGUUGUUGUUGCUGGAGAAAGGUUUGGAACACUCAUUUUUGGCAAGUUCUUACCCAUGAACUGCAGAUUAUUCUUCAUUGUAGCUUUAAAACAAACAAACCUUUAUAUCAAGUAGUGUGUCACUUCCUUUCAAUAUACUCUUGAUACUAAUGUUUCCAAAUGGAGCUUCUGCAUCUGCAUGCUACGACUUGUAGUACACAAAAUGUCUUCCAGUGGAAAAAGUGAUUCACUAGCAGAGGUUGGUGGUGCAGACUCUGAGACUGGUUGUAGAAAGCACUGAUGUUAACGCAGAGGGAACAAGUUGCCCAAUGGAAACUACUGGUUUGUAAGUUCUAACUUACACUGCCUCAUGGGUGUCCAUCCAGGAUGUAUGGGAUAUUAUAUCCAUGCUUCUAAACUGAUAUCUGACAUCUGAAGAUGACAUGCAAAAUUUUAUGGUACAAGAGGUGGUAGUAUUAUGUCCAUUUGUUGAGGAUGAUAGCAGUUAUAGAAUUCUCCUUAGCUGUUCUGUUCUGGCAUGCCUCAUGCAUGCCUGUUAAAAUGAGUACAAUGUAGAUCCCCUAAAGGGAGCCUAUUAGAAAGCUUGAGGGGGACUCUUAUCAGGGAGUAUAGUAACAAGACAAAGGAUAACAGAUUUAAAUUGAAAGAGAGUAGAUAUAAAUUAGAUGCAAGGAAGAAAUUCUUUAAUCAGAGGGUGGUGAGACACUGGCACAGGCUGCCUGGGAAUGCUG
This is a non-coding RNA of Meleagris gallopavo (turkey), 13522 nucleotides long. The record is from RefSeq and is a predicted model, not a curated record. NCBI's taxonomy places the organism in Eukaryota, Metazoa, Chordata, Aves, Galliformes, Phasianidae.